Tribolium castaneum (red flour beetle) is the source of this 1553-nucleotide long non-coding RNA. RefSeq lists it as uncharacterized. The transcript is spliced from 5 exons. NCBI's taxonomy places the organism in Eukaryota, Metazoa, Arthropoda, Insecta, Coleoptera, Tenebrionidae. The record is from RefSeq and is a predicted model, not a curated record.
CGCCCCAAUGACAACAGGUACCCUAUUUGUAAGUAAUACAAAAUUGUUGUCUUCAAGUGUCAUACUAAUAAUUAAUGACUUUUUUGAGCUAAAUAUCAUACCAGUUUUUUCUGUGGUUUCGGAAACCAAACUUCUCAGAAUAGCCACAUUUAUUGAUAAGACUUGUUGGUCUCUUGAUACGAUAAGAAAAGAAGCUCGAAUAAAGCUCGAGCGAAAAUGUCGAGCCACAAAUAUUAGUAUAUCCUGCAUUUUGCUGCUUCUUUCCGUUGCAGUGUUUAGCAAUUUUCCGUGUUUUGGAAAGCAGGAUGACUUUUUCCUUUGCAUAAAAAUUUUUGAGGAAUACUUUGGUCAAUGGUCAUCCAUUCCUAACUACAUUUACUUCACACUAUUUCCAAUUUUAUGUUACUCUUACUUUAGAAUCGUUUUCUCGUUUGUUUACGCCAUUUUAGAGACACAGUUACAAUUCUCCCUCAUUGAAGAAUAUUUGUUUGAAGUAUAUCAGAUGGAUGACUUGAAUUGGAAGUACUUACAAGACCCUCGAUAUCAACAAGAAAUCGGGAAGUCGUUGCAACUUUGUAUUGAACACCACACUGCUUUGAAAAAAUUAAUCCACUCGAUUAUGAAUGUUACGCUCACUGCAAUUCCGUUUUUUCUGCCUUUUGUGAUUCUUCUUUUCGUUAGUUGCUUCCUAUUCUUCAUAAAUUUUGGGGACACCAUGACCAUCAUUUUAAAAAUACGAUUACUUUUUUAUGUUGGAGCUAUCCUUAGCAUGACUUUACUGAUGUGUUGGUAUGGCCAACAAGUGAUAAAUGUGACAAAUAGUAUUUUUUUCACCCUAGUCGGAGCUCCGUUUUACUUUUGGAAUCUUAAUAAUAUGAAAAUUCUUUUGAUGUUUAUAAUGAAUUGUACCAAAAACGAGAGUAUAGUUUUGACCGGGAUUUAUGUAGAUUAUACACUGGCUGUGUCUGUCUUGCGCAUCUCCGUCUCCUAUACUCUAAGUUUGUUAGGACUUCGAAAUCGUAGUUUUGAUUGAAACCAAGAACUUCUCUUAAAAUGUUAUUUUAUUUUUUGUUUACUGUAAUCACUUAAUUUACUCUAUUUUUGAGUAAAACGCUCGAAUUAGUAAUGUAACCCAUCAAGUUAAAUAAUCUAUACUUCUUAUACAUGCUGGUCUAGCCCAGCUCCCGUCUUCUGUAGUUCAGUUAUUAUUAAAGUAGGAGUUUUGAUAUUUUGAAGAUGUUGUUUAUACUCUAGGACACAUUUUAGCAAAAUAUUUUUGAUUAAACAGACAGGCUCAAAACGCCGUAAGGUAUAACGCCGUAAUAAUCAAUUUUUUGAAUGGUGUGCUAUUAUUUAUUUUUUGUGCUCAUUGUACCUUUUUAGAUCGGUUCAGGGAUUACUGUUAAAAAAAAUAAAAACAAAAAAAAUCGAUUUUACACCUUUAGUUUUAAGAAUCAUUAAAAAAUAGAAACAGUGCUUUUUUGACGGCUUUAGUACUACGUAAGUGUUGAAGUGUUUAUUAAGUGAGUUUGAUUGAUUUGAAUUAGAACAGG